AUCGCAUCGGGUCAUACUAUCCGCGUUGACGGCAUUGAGUUUGACAUUUCAAAUUAGGGGGUGAAACGUAAACAAACGCAGUGAGAAAAACUAUAAUUUUUGUUCAAAGUUAUCUUGAGAUUCUAUAGCUUUCUGCAAAAAUGGCAUCCAAUGCGAUAAACUCUUCGAUGAUGACGGUAAAUUUGCAGCUUGCCGAUAUUUUUCAAUACGUCGGAGGAGGAAGCAGGUUGAUAGUCGAAGGUUCCCUUCAGUUCCAUUGCUUACAGUAACAGAUUUGCAACAAAAGUGGGGUAAAAUUGCAGAAAAAGUUGCUGACGAUAUGUACAAGACAACACCAUUGACCGCAUUCUGCAAAAAAAUGACGAAUACAAAAGAUACGACUGAAGCUGCCUCGCCGGCGGGUUUGACUCACGAUGAGGGUACCAACAUUCUUCAGCUUUUCGUGAAAGGUUUGCUUCCAAUUUAUUGAUCGAUUUUUUAAAAUAAAAUUUUAAUUAUUAAUUAUUAGGAUUCCCUGAAAGCGGUCUGGCAUACGAAAAGAAAGGACGAGAAAUGAAAAAUAUUGACAAAAAUGAUGAAUCUGAUGUUCUGAAUACACUUCUCGAUAUA
This is a long non-coding RNA of Toxorhynchites rutilus septentrionalis, 609 nucleotides long. RefSeq lists it as uncharacterized. The record is from RefSeq and is a predicted model, not a curated record. Lineage: Eukaryota; Metazoa; Arthropoda; Insecta; Diptera; Culicidae. The transcript has 3 exons.